Molecule: ribosomal RNA, 229 nt
Filed under: uncultured Staphylococcus sp.
Lineage: Bacteria; Bacillati; Bacillota; Bacilli; Caryophanales; Staphylococcaceae
Description: partial 16S ribosomal RNA
Rfam family: Bacterial small subunit ribosomal RNA
Source: RNAcentral
UAACACGUGGAUAACCUACCUAUAAGACUGGGAUAACUUCGGGAAACCGGAGCUAAUACCGGAUAAUAUUUUGAACCGCAUGGUUCAAAAGUGAAAGACGGUCUUGCUGUCACUUAUAGAUGGAUCCGCGCUGCAUUAGCUAGUUGGUGAGGUAAAGGCUCACCAAGGCGACGAUACAUAGCCGACCUGAGAGGGUGAUCGGCCACACUGGGACUGAGACACGGCCCAG